RNAcentral lists this ribosomal RNA (378 nucleotides) under uncultured bacterium. Its description in RNAcentral is "bacterial SSU rRNA". It matches the Rfam family "Bacterial small subunit ribosomal RNA", at positions 521 to 896 of the family's 1533-position model. The record is from RNAcentral.
UAAUACGAGGGGUGCAAGCGUUAUUCGGAUUAAUUGGGCGUAAAGGGUGCGUAGACGGUUUGUUAAGUCACUUGUUAAAUUCUUCAGCCUAACUGAAGGUAUGCGAGUGAUACUGGCGAACUAGAGGGUGGAAGAGAGAAGUGGAAUUCUCGGAGUAGCGGUAAAAUGCGUAGAUCUCGAGAGGAACACCAAUGGCGAAGGCAGCUUCUUGGUCCAUUCCUGACGUUCAGGCACGAAAGCGUGGGGAGCAAACAGGAUUAGAUACCCUGGUAGUCCACGCUGUAAACGAUGAUCACUGGACGUUGGUUCUGUUUAACAGAAUCAGUGUCGUAGCUAACGCGUUAAGUGAUCCGCCUGGGAAUUACGGUCGCAAGACUA